GUUCUCAAUAUUAAAAUAAUCAUUCUAAGCUAAUAUAUCCCUUUAAUAAUUUUAGGACUUAGUCCUUUGUUAGGAUCAAGAGCGCACUAAGAGAGGGGGUGAAUUAGUGCAGCGGAAAACUUAUGCGAUUUUAGAAAAUAUUUCGUACGUUCGAAGGAAAUCGAUUCGGAAAGAUAAUUACUUUAAAACAUAAGAAAGCAUAAGUGUAGUGAAAGCAAGAUGAG
This 224-nucleotide long non-coding RNA is filed under the name Musa acuminata (dwarf banana). RNAcentral describes it as "long non-coding RNA (MACU_LNC010018)". The record is from RNAcentral. Lineage: Eukaryota; Viridiplantae; Streptophyta; Magnoliopsida; Zingiberales; Musaceae.